This is an RNA transcript of Lacerta agilis (Sand lizard), 3620 nucleotides long. It is a transcript of the gene named TLE family member 4, transcriptional corepressor, with no coding region annotated. Lineage: Eukaryota; Metazoa; Chordata; Lepidosauria; Squamata; Lacertidae. The record is from RefSeq and is a predicted model, not a curated record. The transcript has 21 exons.
AGCGCGAGCGCCGGGCAGCCCCGUCCUCCUCCUCCUCCUCCAUCAUCUCCUUUGCAUCGCUGCAAUUAAAAUCAAUGAACCGAGUUUUCUCCCUGGCCCAGAGCACCCACUAAAUCGGUUUGGAUGAUUCGCGAUCUGAGCAAGAUGUACCCUCAAAGCAGACACCCGGCACCGCAUCAGCCUGCUCAACCCUUCAAAUUCACCAUUUCCGAAUCCUGUGAUCGGAUUAAGGAGGAGUUUCAGUUUUUACAGGCUCAGUACCACAGUUUAAAGCUAGAAUGUGAGAAACUGGCCAGCGAAAAGACAGAGAUGCAGCGACAUUAUGUCAUGUAUUAUGAAAUGUCCUACGGGUUGAACAUAGAAAUGCAUAAACAGGCAGAAAUUGUCAAGAGGCUGAAUGCCAUAUGUGCCCAGGUCAUUCCUUUCUUAUCCCAGGAGCACCAGCAACAAGUGGUGCAGGCUGUGGAACGUGCCAAGCAAGUGACCAUGGCAGAACUGAACGCAAUCAUUGGGCAGCAGCAACUCCAGGCCCAGCAUUUGUCACAUGGACACGGUCUCCCAGUGCCUCUCACCCCACACCCUUCAGGAUUGCAACCACCAACCAUCCCACCCAUUGGCAGCAGCGCUGGCCUUUUAGCCUUGUCGAGUGCCCUUGGGGGUCAGUCCCAUCUCCCGAUCAAAGAUGAAAAGAAGCAUCAUGAUAACGACCACCAAAGAGAUAGAGACUCCAUAAAGAGCUCAUCUGUGUCUCCAUCAGCCAGUUUCAGAGCCUCUGAGAAGCACAGAAACUCAACAGACUACUCCUCUGAAAGCAAAAAACAGAAAACAGAAGAAAAAGAAAUAGCAACUCGCUACGACAGUGAUGGUGAAAAGAGUGACGACAACUUAGUGGUUGAUGUUUCCAAUGAGGAUCCUUCAUCACCACGAGGAAGCCCAGCACAUUCUCCAAGGGAAAAUGGCUUGGACAAGACCCGUCUACUCAAGAAAGAUGCACCAAUUAGCCCAGCCUCAAUAGCAUCUUCCAGCAGCACUCCUUCCUCCAAAUCCAAAGAACUUAGCCUUAAUGAGAAGUCCACUACCCCUGUGUCUAAAUCGAGUACCCCCACUCCACGGACUGAUGCUCCAACUCCCGGCAGUAAUUCUACACCAGGAUUGAGGCCUGUGCCUGGGAAGCCACCAGGAGUCGACCCAUUAGCUUCAGGCCUAAGAACGCCCAUGGCAGUACCUUGUCCUUACCCUGCCCCGUUUGGAAUAGUGCCCCACGCUGGGAUGAAUGGGGAGCUGACCAGCCCUGGUGCUGCCUAUGCAGGUCUCCAUAACAUCUCUCCUCAAAUGAGUGCAGCAGCAGCUGCCGCCGCCGCAGCAGCAGCGUAUGGAAGAUCUCCAGUGGUUGGGUUUGAUCCACAUCAUCAUAUGCGAGUCCCAGGCAUCCCUCCCAAUCUGACAGGCAUCCCAGGAGGAAAACCGGCAUACUCAUUUCAUGUAAGUGCAGAUGGCCAAAUGCAGCCUGUACCGUUUCCUCCUGAUGCCCUCAUUGGGCCAGGAAUCCCACGUCAUGCUCGGCAGAUUAACACCCUGAACCACGGGGAAGUGGUAUGUGCAGUUACGAUCAGCAACCCCACAAGGCAUGUGUACACUGGUGGGAAGGGAUGUGUCAAGGUCUGGGAUAUCAGUCAUCCGGGGAACAAGAGCCCUGUCUCUCAGCUGGAUUGCCUGAACAGAGAUAACUACAUCCGCUCCUGCAGAUUGCUCCCCGACGGCCGCACCCUGAUUGUUGGCGGGGAAGCCAGCACGUUAUCCAUUUGGGACCUGGCAGCUCCAACUCCGCGUAUAAAAGCAGAGUUGACAUCUUCGGCUCCUGCCUGCUACGCUCUGGCAAUCAGCCCUGAUUCCAAGGUCUGCUUCUCCUGCUGUAGCGAUGGGAACAUUGCAGUCUGGGAUCUGCACAAUCAAACUCUGGUCAGGCAAUUCCAGGGCCACACAGAUGGAGCCAGUUGUAUUGAUAUUUCAAAUGAUGGCACUAAGCUCUGGACAGGAGGCCUGGACAAUACAGUGAGAUCCUGGGACCUAAGGGAAGGCAGGCAGCUACAGCAACAUGACUUCACAUCACAGAUCUUCUCACUGGGUUAUUGCCCAACUGGAGAAUGGUUGGCAGUCGGAAUGGAGAACAGCAAUGUUGAAGUGCUGCAUGUCACAAAACCAGACAAGUAUCAACUUCAUCUUCAUGAGAGUUGUGUGUUAUCCCUGAAGUUCGCUCACUGCGGCAAAUGGUUUGUAAGCACUGGAAAAGACAACCUUCUGAAUGCUUGGAGAACACCUUAUGGAGCCAGCAUAUUCCAGUCCAAAGAGUCAUCUUCUGUGCUUAGCUGUGAUAUCUCUGUGGAUGACAAAUACAUUGUUACCGGUUCUGGGGACAAGAAGGCUACAGUCUAUGAAGUUAUUUAUUAGAGACAAAUCCGAAUGAAAACUUUACUCCUCCUUGUAGCACUUUUGCUGUAUAUUUUUCUUCUCUCUCUCUUUUUCUCUCUCUCCUUCCCAAAGUGAGGACAGAAACCGUUCAUCACAAUUGUGGAAUUUCCCCACCAGACUUGCUAUUUAAUAUCAGGCACCCAUUAAGGACUUGUAGUACCAAAUCUCCAGCUAUCUACUUGGAAGAAGAUGGAAUAAGCAUACCUAACAGGGAACUGACUCUUUCAAUUAUGUAUCAUAGCUGUAAUGUAUUUAUUUUGUUUAAAGAAAAACUUUUUAACAAGGAACUGACUAAAUAAAGUAGUCUGCUUCUGCCUUGGAUUUAAAGAGAGAAGUACAAUAACGUGUCUCAAAGAAUGACCUUCAUCCCUUCUGGACAUUUUUGCCACAUUUCUUUGAAAGGGGAAGUGUGAGUCUUUGGGCAAUUCUGCAGUUACAAAGAUUACAGAAAAAUAUUUGAUAUAUUCAUUGGAAAUGGCACUGAGAAGGGAAAGGAUUCUACAAGUGUGCAAACUAUAAAAGCGAGGAUCUCAGAGGUAGGAUUUAGAAGAGCACUCAUUCUGAAGUGCGGAACAGAAUGGAUUUUCACUCGGGAGAAGGACUUGCGUUAUUUACCGCCAGUUUUACCCAAGUCUUAGUUGAACGUCCCUGAAAUGGACGCAGGCUGAGCCAUUGUGCCAGAAACAUUGUGUUAUCUUUUUAUGUUGUUGUUGUUGCUGUUAAACUAUGACCUGUGACUUUUUUUUUUUUUGAAUGCUUAAAAAAAAUCUUUUAAGUCUGUGGAUCUGCUGAUGUACAGUGCCUUUGCUGCUAUGGAUCAAAAUCAAAAGAACUGUGUAGAUAAAUCUUUAUUGUGUAAGUAGAAAUUUACUUAAUUUCAUACUAGAAAUGGGUUAAUGCUGCAAGUUGAAAUGGACUGUUCAUUGAAGUUCCAAAUGUGGUAGCAAAAAAAAGAUAAUAAUUGUGUUAAGUGCUCAGUGUUUGAUGUCAUUAACAGUUUCGUAAUACUCUACAGUGUAGAAAGAUUUUGAUACUAAACUGUGUCAUUGUACAUAGUUCUAAUGCAUUGUAUUGACCACAAGUCCUUCUAUAAUGGUAGAUUAUCGUUUGUGCAUUCAAACUUUUAAGCAUUAAACAUAAGUAACUUGUAA